ACCAUUGUUGGAUAUUUCAGAGCUUGGAUAACAGCACCGCUAAUUACUCGUCAAAAACCUUAGCAUCAAUGCAUGUUCCAGCUGAGCCAGCGAUUCUUGUAGCUAGUUGAUGCUUACAUUGAAAAUAGGAAGAAAUUAUUAAUCAAAUAUUCUCAUUUCUACCUCAUUAAAUUCGAGAAUCGAAUAAUAGAAUAAUGUUGGAUAAAUAGAAGUAAACUCACACAAAUCCCUUCCCUUCUGUAAAAAAUGUUAUUAUGAGCACAAUAAUGUUCUGGACAACAAAUUAUUAAGGAAAAAUAUGAGCACAAUAAUAUUUUGAUAAAUUAAAAAAAAAAUAUAUGAACAAAAUAACCAUUUCAUAUGCGCUAUUUUACCUUAUCAAUUUGUCAAACCUAAUUUCAGCAUUCAAUUAAUAAUUCAAUACCACCUCAAUUUUUUUCCAAAAUCUGGAGAAACAGACUAACCAAAGUUAAAUAGCAGCGGGAGAUGACGAUUUCAACAACGGAGAUGAUGAUUUCAGCAGCGGUAACGAUGUAAGAAUCGGUGACGGUGGCGGUGGCAAUAUCUAAUUGAGGGCCACAGAUCCAGUUGCUGCAAAUUUGCGGCCGUGGUAGCGGGAUGUGGCAACAUCAAUCGCGGCAAAACCACGGUAUUGUCACGCUGAGACG
RNAcentral lists this long non-coding RNA (668 nucleotides) under Erythranthe guttata (spotted monkey flower). RNAcentral describes it as "long non-coding RNA (EGUT_LNC000652)". Lineage: Eukaryota; Viridiplantae; Streptophyta; Magnoliopsida; Lamiales; Phrymaceae. The record is from RNAcentral.